Molecule: transfer RNA, 72 nt
Filed under: Rattus norvegicus (Norway rat)
Lineage: Eukaryota; Metazoa; Chordata; Mammalia; Rodentia; Muridae
Rfam family: tRNA
About the family: Transfer RNA (tRNA) molecules are approximately 80 nucleotides in length. Their secondary structure includes four short double-helical elements and three loops (D, anti-codon, and T loops). Further hydrogen bonds mediate the characteristic L-shaped molecular structure. tRNAs have two regions of fundamental functional importance: the anti-codon, which is responsible for specific mRNA codon recognition, and the 3' end, to which the tRNAs corresponding amino acid is attached (by aminoacyl-tRNA synthetases). tRNAs cope with the degeneracy of the genetic code in two manners: having more than one tRNA (with a specific anti-codon) for a particular amino acid; and 'wobble' base-pairing, i.e. permitting non-standard base-pairing at the 3rd anti-codon position.
Source: Rfam by way of RNAcentral
GGGGAUUUAGCUCAGUGGUAGAGCGCUUGCCUAGCAAGUGCAAGGCCCUGGGUUCGGUCCCCAGCUCCCCCA